This 497-nucleotide ribosomal RNA is filed under the name uncultured bacterium. RNAcentral describes it as "partial 16S ribosomal RNA". It matches the Rfam family "Bacterial small subunit ribosomal RNA", at positions 28 to 507 of the family's 1533-position model. The record is from RNAcentral.
GAUGAACGCUGGCGGCGUGCCUAAUACAUGCAAGUCGAGCGAACAGAUGAGGAGCUUGCUCCUCUGACGUUAGCGGCGGACGGGUGAGUAACACGUGGAUAACCUACCUAUAAGACUGGGAUAACUUCGGGAAACCGGAGCUAAUACCGGAUAAUAUAUUGAACCGCAUGGUUCAAUAGUGAAAGACGGUUUUGCUGUCACUUAUAGAUGGAUCCGCGCCGCAUUAGCUAGUUGGUAAGGUAACGGCUUACCAAGGCGACGAUGCGUAGCCGACCUGAGAGGGUGAUCGGCCACACUGGAACGGAGACGCGGUCCAGACUCCUACGGGAGGCAGCAGUAGGGAAUCUUCCGCAAUGGGCGAAAGCCUGACGGAGCAACGCCGCGUGAGUGAUGAAGGUCUUCGGAUCGUAAAACUCUGUUAUUAGGGAAGAACAAAUGUGUAAGUAACUAUGCACGUCUUGACGGUACCUAAUCAGAAAGCCACGGCUAACUACGUG